This 207-nucleotide ribosomal RNA is filed under the name uncultured bacterium. RNAcentral's name for it is "partial 16S ribosomal RNA". It matches the Rfam family "Bacterial small subunit ribosomal RNA", at positions 568 to 774 of the family's 1533-position model. The record is from RNAcentral.
CGCGUAGGCGGGAACUUAAGUCAGGUGUGAAAACUCUGGGCUCAACCUGGGGACUGCACUUGAAACUGGGUUUCUUGAGGGCAGGAGAGGAAAGUGGAAUUCCUAGUGUAGCGGUGAAAUGCGUAGAUAUUAGGAGGAACACCAGUGGCGAAGGCGACUUUCUGGACUGUACCUGACGCUGAGGCGCGAAAGCGUGGGGAGCAAACG